This 253-nucleotide ribosomal RNA is filed under the name uncultured bacterium. RNAcentral describes it as "partial 16S ribosomal RNA". It matches the Rfam family "Bacterial small subunit ribosomal RNA", at positions 524 to 776 of the family's 1533-position model. The record is from RNAcentral.
UACGAGGGGGGCAAGCGUUGUUCGGAAUUAUUGGGCGUAAAGGGUGCGUAGGCGGUUUGGUAAGUCUUGUGUGAAAUCUACAGGCUCAACUUGUAGUCUGCACGAGAAACUGCCGGGCUUGAGUGUGGGAGAGGUGAGUGGAAUUCCUGGUGUAGCGGUGAAAUGCGUAGAUAUCAGGAGGAACACCUGUGGCGAAAGCGGCUCACUGGACCAUAACUGACGCUGAUGCACGAAAGCUAGGGGAGCAAACAGG